ACAUUUAUAUGUAUAUAUAUUUUAAAUGAUAAAAAAAGAAUAGCAAUGUUUUAUGUUAUUAUAUAUACAGAAGAAAAUGUUAUUAAACUAAAGAACAACAUAACUUUAUUUGAAAAUAUCUAUGACCGGAAUGGACGUAAAGUACCUAAAGAAAUAACAAUUCAUGAGGAUAAUAACGAUUUUUUUGAACAAGAUAAAGACGAAUGCUUGUUGAAAGAAAAAAUAGAAAAAGAAACAAGAAAGAAAAAAAAAAAAAAAAAUGAAUAUGGCAAAUAUAAAUAUCAAUCAUCAUAUAUUUUAAAUAAAAAUAAAAUCAUUUACUACACUUCUGUUUUUAUAGAACUAUAUAUAAAGCAAUGUGACAAUUUGGACUUAUAUUUAAUUGAAGAAGAGGAAGAUAAAAAAAAUUCGUAUGAACAAAAUGAUAUAGGAUGUAACACACAUCAUAAUCAUAAGAUAAAAAAUGCACAAGACAAAAAAAAAAAAAAAAAAAAAUUAAAAAAAGGUAAACUAGGCACAACAUGGGAAGGGAAAGGGGUAACAGAAAAAAAAGUUAACAACCAUGUGAAUGAUAAUGAUAGGAACAAUAAUGGCAAUAACAAUAAUAAAAGCAAUUUUAAUAAUAACAACAAUUUUAAUAGCAACAAUUUUAAUAAUAACAACAAUUUUAAUAAUAACAACAAUUUUAAUAAUAACAACAAUUUUAAUAAUUGUAAAAAUUCUUACAACUUGGCUAGUUCUAAUAAUAUUUACAGCAGCACUUCCUCAAGACAUUCUUCUUUUUUCUCUGACGACUCUUCUUCUUUAUCAUGUACUACCCCCUCGUUAAGAUGUUCCCACACGACAGCACCAACCAUUAACUUGCCAUUACAUAGGUCUCAUAUGCUAUUCAUAUUAUCAUUACCAAUACAUUUUUCCCUUCGCGAGUUUUUUAUUUUAAUUAGCAAAUAUAUUGAUUAUAUUUCUGUUUGUAAAAUUUUUCGUUUAAAGAACAACUUUAAUUUUAUACAAAGCGGAAAAAAUGAACAGGACCAAAAACAAACAAACCCAGACAAUAACGUAUUUCUAAAAAAUAUAUGCAAAUACAACUUGUAUAAUGAUAAUACGAACACUGACAUUAUUCAUAAAACUGAAAUGGACAACAUGGAAAACUUUGAUAACCAAGGUGAGUAUACCCCAAUAAAUAAAAAUAGUAACAUAUCAGUUAUUAGUUUUAAAAAAGACAUAGAGAAAAAAGUAAAAUUGUACAAACAGUUGUAUAAUAAUCUAAAAAAAAAAUUAAAAAAAAAAAAAAAAAUUGAAACAUAUUCAAUUUUACUUUCAUUUAAAACACAAUUAUAUGCUGAUAUGUUUUAUCAAAAUUUCCACUGUAAAAAUUUAAAGUUUUUAAUUGAACAAAAUAUAUCAAUAUCAUUAUCUGAAUCAUCUUUAUGUUAUGAGUUGUCGUCAUAUGUAUCACAAAAGAAAAAUAUAAAAAAUGUUAUUAAUAAAAAAUGGUAUGUUUAUUGUGUGUUUGUUAAUUCCGUUUAUUAUAUUUUAUAUAAUAAUGAUACUGAAAAACAGAAAAAUCAAAAUGAAUCAAAAUAUGUGUGUCCAUUAGUCAAAACUUCAAGUGAUCACAUAAAUAAGUUAAAUAAUAUGAAUUCGUUAAAUAUGUGUGAAAAUUAUGACAAAAAAGAAGAUUGUAGUUUUUUUGAUGUUGAUAUUAUACAAGAGGAGUCCACAAGUGUGAAAGGCUAUUAUAGCGGUAACUAUAAUGGUAACUGCAAUUGUAGUGGUAACUGCAAUUGUAGUGGUAACUGUAACUGUAAUGGUAACUGCAACUGUAAUGGUAACUGCAACUGUAAUGGUAACUGCAACUGUAAUGGUAACUGUAACUGUAAUGGUAACUGCAACUGUAAUGGCAUUGGCAACAGCAAGGAAAACCGUGAGAAGGACUUUCCAUUCAAUAAAAACAGCUUUGACGAUGACAAACACACCAUAAACAACUUAAUAAAAAAAAAUAUAUAUCCAUUCACUCUUUUUGAUAUUAACAAAUAUGAAAAUGUUUAUACUAACAUUAUAAAAGAUUGUAAUGUAUGUUUAUCUACUUGUUUAGUAUGUAUGGAACGAUUAGAUAACAGCAUUUAUUUUAUUCUUAGUAGGAACAAAAAAUGGAGUUAUGUAGAAAAAGAAAAUAACAGUUAUUAUGAUUAUAUAAACUUAUCUUGUUAUGUUUGUGUAUUAAUAUUUUUUUAUUAUGUUUUGUUAAAAUUUGAAGGUAACGAUCAUACAAUUGGUGACUUUCUUUUUGAAUUUCAAAAGCAGCUCGGUGAGAAAGAGAAGGAGAAAGAAAAAGAUAAAGAAAAAGAGAAAGAAAAAGAUAAAGAAAAAGAUAAAGAAAAAGAGAAAGAAAAAGAUAAAGAAAAAGAGAAAGAACGAGAGCAAAAAUAUGAACAAGAAAGAAAUAAUGAUAAAGAAAUAAUAUACAAAGAAUUACAAACCUAUUUUAUCAAUCAUUAUAACGGUGUGGAAAAAGAAAAAAUAGCUAAUUACAUGAACAAUGGUAACAACUGUAACGUGUUGGACGUUCAUAACAACUGGGAUAGCACAAACAAAAUGAAUAACAUGAUAUACACAAUAAUUGAAUUAUAUACAUUGGUGAAAAAUUUAAAAUGCAAAUGUUGUAAUAAUAAUGACGAUAUAUGGUUUUGUUUAAUAUGUGCUAACAUAGGAUGUAGUAGGUACCAAAAAAGUCAUGCAAAAAUACAUAGUACCGCAUUUAAUCAUAAUUAUUGUAUUAAUUUAAAAACAAAGCAAGUAUGGAAUUACCUACAAGAUAAGUUUAUGGAGAAAAAUAUGUUUGAUAAUAGUAUAGAGGAUAGUGAUGGUAUAAAUCACUCCGUUUACCAUUUUGAUAAAAAAACAUACGAACAAAUUUUGCGCAAUCAUCAUAACAAUAAUAGCAGUAGUCGUAAUGGUAGUAGUGGUACAAAUAAUUAUAAUCAUAACGAUUAUAAUUAUUGUUUAGAAAAAAAAUAUAACAAAAAAAAAGAAAAAAAAAACAAACCUGGUUUUGUUUAUCAUGAUGAAGAAGAAAACAUACUUUUGAAUAAUAUACAUACAAAUAGUUACAAUAAUAAUAACAACAAUGGACAGAAUUACUAUAACUACAGUUACAGCUACGAAAACAUUUAUCACAUGAACAAUAUAUAUAAUAAUUACAUUAUAGAUAAUAUGGAAAAUGAUUAUUUUUAUGAAUAUAAAGAUGAAAUUUAUAACAAAAUAAUUAAUAUAUUUACUGAUGAUAUAUAUAUUAAUGACAAUUUAAAAAACGAACUUUUAUAUAUUCUCUAUUCACAAUUGUCACAAGAAUCUAACAUAUAUAAUAAUAUUUUAAUUGAUCUUCAAUAUAAAUACCUCAAUAAUAUGGAAAAUAAAAAAAAAACAAUCAAACUUAUUCGUGAACAUAUCAAUCAAAUAAAAAAAGAAAACAG
This 3476-nucleotide long non-coding RNA is filed under the name Piliocolobus tephrosceles (Ugandan red Colobus). RNAcentral's name for it is "lncRNA (ENSPTEG00000000618.1)". Lineage: Eukaryota; Metazoa; Chordata; Mammalia; Primates; Cercopithecidae. The record is from RNAcentral.